This 214-nucleotide long non-coding RNA is filed under the name Brassica napus (rape). RNAcentral's name for it is "long non-coding RNA (BNAP_LNC015586)". The record is from RNAcentral. Lineage: Eukaryota; Viridiplantae; Streptophyta; Magnoliopsida; Brassicales; Brassicaceae.
GGACGGCACUGUUCUUCCGCCGGGGGAGCCAUCGGAAGUAGUUCACACCCUUCAAUGGGGGCUUCUCCGGGUAUGUCGUUGUACGCUUUACAUUCUUCCUUUUGCUCCAGAUUCUUAUAGGAGCGUAUAAUUUUUGUGCAGACUAUCUCUCAGUUAUUCCAUCUUGGUGAACGACUAUCCAACGAGAGUCCAGUGGCUAGUCGAGAGGAACUUG